This is a non-coding RNA of Macaca mulatta (Rhesus monkey), 1564 nucleotides long. NCBI's taxonomy places the organism in Eukaryota, Metazoa, Chordata, Mammalia, Primates, Cercopithecidae. The record is from RefSeq and is a predicted model, not a curated record.
CCAUGGCAGUUGGAGGAAUGGCAGUGAUCACACGUCGGCUGCUGGGAAGAUCUGAAUUCUUGUGUCAGGUCAUCAUCAGAAAAGCUAAGUUUGCUGUAUAGUGAGGAUCAAGAGAUCUGAUCCUGAUUGCAGAACCUUCCCUGAUUACAGAAUCUUGGGUUGUAUCUCCCACUUCACCCUUCUAGACCAUCCCAGAAGAUCUAUAAGAUUUCAUCUGGGAAAUCACUAGGAGUUCUUGGAAGGGAAAGAAGGAAGAUUGUUGGUUGGAAUAAAAACAAUGUUGAAUGAAUUCCAGAAAGCAGGAUUCUUAACCUCGUGGACAGCAAUCUGCAGAAGAAGAGAACUUCAGAAAACAAACUCGAAGCAACAUGCAGAGAAGUAAGAUGAGAGGGGUCUCCUCGGGAAAGAAGACCGCUGGUCCACAGCAGAAAAAUCUUGAACCAGCUCUCCCAGGAAGAUGAGGGGGUCGCUCUGUAGAGAACCCCCUUCAGGAUCCAUGAGGAAGACCAGAAAGAACAAACAGAAGACUCCUGGAAACAGAGAUUGUGGCAGUACCAGCGAAGCACCUCAGCCCCCUCGGAAGAAAAGGGCCUGGGCAGACUGUUGAAAGUGAGGAGGCAUUUAAGAAUAGAAUGGAGGUUAAAGUGAAGAUUCCUGAAGAAUUAAAACUGUGGCUUAUUGAGGACUGGGACUUAGUAACCAGACAGAAGCAGCUGUUCCAACUCCCUGCUAAGAAAAAUGUAGAUGGAAUUCUGGAGGAGUAUGCAAGUUGCAAGAAGUCACAGGCAAAUGUUGAUAAUAAGGAAUAUGCAGUUAAUGAAGUUGUGGCAGGAAUAAAAGAAUAUUUCAAUGUGAUGUUGGGCACUCAGCUGCUCUACAAAUUUGAGAGGCCCCAGUAUCCUGAAAUCCUCUUGGCUCACCCUGAUGCUCCAAUGUCUCAGGUUUAUGGAGCCCCACACCUACUGAGAUUAUUUGUAAGAAUUGGAGCAAUGUUGGCCUAUACGCCCCUUGAUGAGAAAAGCCUUGCAUUAUUGUUGGGCUAUUUGCAUGAUUUCCUAAAAUAUCUGGCAAAGAAUUCUGCAUCUCUCUUUACUGCCAGUGAUUACAAAGUGGCUUCUGCUGAGUACCACUGCAAAGCCCUGUGAGCGUCUACAGACAGCUCAUCAUUUUUGUCCUGUAUCUGUAAACACUUUUUGUUCUUAGUCUUUUUCUUGUAAAAUUGAUGUUCUUUAAAAUCGUUAAUGUAUAACAGCGCUUAUGUUUCAGUUUUUUUCUGUUCUGUUUUAAACAGAAAAUAAAAGGAGCAUAAGCUCCUUUUCUCAUUUCAAAGUUGCUACCAGUGUAUGCAGUAAUUAGAACAAAGAAGAAACAGUAGAACAUUUUAUUGUCUAGUUGACAACAUUGCUUGAAUGCUGGUGGUUCCUAUCCCUUUGACACUACACAAUUUUCUAAUAUGUGUUAAUGCUAUGUGACAAAACGCCCUGAUUCCUAGUGCCAAAGGUUCAACUUAAUGUAUAUACCUGAAAACCCAUGCAUUUGUGCUCUUUUUUUUUUUAUGGUGCUU